Mandrillus leucophaeus (drill) is the source of this 760-nucleotide RNA transcript. It is a transcript of the gene named surfeit locus protein 1 pseudogene, with no coding region annotated. NCBI's taxonomy places the organism in Eukaryota, Metazoa, Chordata, Mammalia, Primates, Cercopithecidae. The transcript has a single exon. The record is from RefSeq and is a predicted model, not a curated record.
GGGGCCGGGUGCGAUGGCGGCGGUGGCUGCACGGCAGCUGGGGCUGCGGGCGGCGGGGCUGGGACGGGCCCCUGCCAGCGCCGCUUGGAAGAGUGUCCUCCGGUUCUCCCCGCGCCCAGAUGUGGCAGUUCUGCAGCAGAAGCAUCUGCCACAAAAGCGGAAGAUGACUCCUUUAUUCAGUGGGUCCUGCUCUUCAUCCCUGUGACUGCCUUUGGCUUGGGGACAUGGCAGGUCCAACGUCGGAAGUGGAAGCUGAACCUGAUUGCAGAGUGGGAGUCUAGAGUUCUGGCUGAGCCUGUCCCUCUACCAGUAGACCCAAUGGAACUGAAAAAUAUGGAGUAUAGGCCAGUGAAAGUCAAGGGGUGCUUUGACCACUCCAAGGAGCUGUAUAUGAUGCCCCGGACCAUGGUGGACCCUGCCCGGGAGGCCUGGGAGGCUGGCCACAUCUCCUCCUCAACUCAGAGUGGGGCCUAUGUGGUCACUCCCUUCCACUGCACCGACCUGGGAGAGCACAGUCCCUGGAGGACCCAUUGGAGGGCAAACCAGAGUUACUCUGAGGAACGAGCAUCUGCAGUACAUUGUCACCUGGUGUGGACUCUCUGCAGCUACAUCAUACCUGUGGUUUAAGAAAUUCCUACGGGGGACACCUGGUGUGUAACAGAUCAGCUGCUAAAGCCCUGUCCCUGAAUAAUGAAGUAAAAAGACUGCCUUUAUGCUGGAUCAUGUGGUAUAAAGUUCUGGCCUUCUACCUUAAAAAAAA